RNAcentral lists this long non-coding RNA (242 nucleotides) under Brassica napus (rape). Its description in RNAcentral is "long non-coding RNA (BNAP_LNC005883)". The record is from RNAcentral. Lineage: Eukaryota; Viridiplantae; Streptophyta; Magnoliopsida; Brassicales; Brassicaceae.
UUCCAGUGCUUUUUAUUGAAUAUGGAAAUGAUCUUAUUGAUAGACUGGUUAUACACUUAUUUACCUGAGCAUAAUAAUAGCAUAAGGAAAUACUAUAUUGUGCAAUUAAAUAUGAGUAAAUAUUGUAUCAAUCAAGGGGACUGAAGGAAUAUUCUAAAAUGCCCCCCAAGAUGGAGCACCAUUGGUGAGUCCAAUCUUGAUAGACAUGUUUAGGGGUGGGCGUUCGGAUACCCAUUCGGGUU